CAAAUCAGGUAGGACUACCCGCUGAACUUAAGCAUAUCAAUAAGCGGAGGAAAAGAAACUAACAAGGAUUCCCCUAGUAACUGCGAGUGAAGCGGGAAAAGCUCAAAUUUGUAAUCUGGCGGUCUUUGGCCGUCCGAAUUGUAAACUAGAGAAGUGUUAUCCGCGCUGGACCGUGUACAAGUCCCCUGGAAUGGGGCGUCAUAGAGGGUGAGAAUCCCGUCUUUGACACGGACUACCAGGGCUUUGUGAUGCGCUCUCAAAGAGUCGAGUUGUUUGGGAAUGCAGCUCAAAAUGGGUGGUAAAUUCCAUCUAAAGCUAAAUAUUGGCGAGAGACCGAUAGCGAACAAGUACCGUGAGGGAAAGAUGAAAAGAACUUUGGAAAGAGAGUUAAACAGUACGUGAAAUUGCUGAAAGGGAAACGCUUGAAGUCAGUCGCGUUAGCGAGGGAUCAGCCUUACUUUUGUGGGGUGUACUUCCUCGUUGAUGGGUCAGCAUCAGUUUUGGUUGCUGGAUAAAGAUCAGGGGAAUGUGGCAUCUUCGGAUGUGUUAUAGCCCUUGGUUGGAUACAGUGGCUGGGACUGAGGAACUCAGCACGCGCAAGUUGUGCUUAGGAUGCUGGCAAA
Molecule: ribosomal RNA, 623 nt
Filed under: Hohenbuehelia robusta
Lineage: Eukaryota; Fungi; Basidiomycota; Agaricomycetes; Agaricales; Pleurotaceae
Also listed under: 2 other names
Description: eukaryotic LSU rRNA
Rfam family: Eukaryotic large subunit ribosomal RNA
Source: RNAcentral